GGGUUGGGUCCCACACGACGUAAGACUGUGAACCUCGUCAGGUCUGGAAGGAAGCAGCGAUAAGCAGCCCCUGCGUGUGAUGUGGAUAAAUCUUGCCUGAGU
This 102-nucleotide signal recognition particle RNA is filed under the name Clostridium celatum DSM 1785. RNAcentral describes it as "Bacterial signal recognition particle RNA". It matches the Rfam family "Bacterial small signal recognition particle RNA". Rfam says of the family: The signal recognition particle (SRP) is a universally conserved ribonucleoprotein involved in the co-translational targeting of proteins to membranes. The record is from RNAcentral. Lineage: Bacteria; Bacillati; Bacillota; Clostridia; Eubacteriales; Clostridiaceae.